This 551-nucleotide ribosomal RNA is filed under the name uncultured bacterium. RNAcentral describes it as "partial 16S ribosomal RNA". It matches the Rfam family "Bacterial small subunit ribosomal RNA", at positions 355 to 895 of the family's 1533-position model. The record is from RNAcentral.
UGGGGAAUAUUGCACAAUGGGCGCAAGCCUGAUGCAGCCAUGCCGCGUGUGUGAAGAAGGCCUUCGGGUUGUAAAGCACUUUCAGCGAGGAGGAAGGUGGUGAACUUAAUACGUUCAUCAAUUGACGUUACUCGCAGAAGAAGCACCGGCUAACUCCGUGCCAGCAGCCGCGGUAAUACGGAGGGUGCAAGCGUUAAUCGGAAUUACUGGGCGUAAAGCGCACGCAGGCGGUUUGUUAAGUCAGAUGUGAAAUCCCCGGGCUCAACCUGGGAACUGCAUUUGAAACUGGCAAGCUAGAGUCUCGUAGAGGGGGGUAGAAUUCCAGGUGGUAGCGGUGAAAUGCGUAGAGAUCUGGAGGAAUACCGGUGGCGAAGGCGGCCCCCUGGACGAAGACUGACGCUCAGGUGCGAAAGCGUGGGGAGCAAACAGGAUUAGGAUACCCUGGUAGUCCACGCUGUAAACGAUGUCGAUUUUGGAGGUUGUGCCCUUGAGGCGUGGCUUCCGGAGCUAACGCGUUAAAUCGACCGCCUGGGGAGUACGGCCGCAAGGUU